RNAcentral lists this long non-coding RNA (3545 nucleotides) under Sus scrofa (pig). RNAcentral describes it as "lncRNA (ENSSSCG00000046584.1)". Lineage: Eukaryota; Metazoa; Chordata; Mammalia; Artiodactyla; Suidae. The record is from RNAcentral.
UAGUCCAAUUUAAAAUUUAUCACUGAAGGGCAGAGGGCAUCUGUCAGUCAUAAAUAGCAAGAAAAAUAAGCAUACUAUGAAAUAAUAGGUGACUUUGUGGUGUUUGGAGUACAGAGUAUUUUGUUUAUUAGUAGAUAUUGUGUGAAUUUAUUUAAACUCCAGAUGAAGCUGAUGUAGCCAGUAGAAAAUAUUUUGCAUGAUGAUUCCUUUCAUUAAACAUUCUGCCUCACUGUGCUUUUUUACUUCAGGAAAAUUCAAGGAGGAGCAACACUGCUUUAGGUCCUUCCCUCUCUUUCCCCCAACUGUCUGUUCCUGCCGCUUCAGCUUUCUCUUCUACUAUGUAAGAUGAUGUGUAAAAAGACUGAAUAUACCUCUAAGUAUAUAUAAUACAUGUAGGUAUAUGAAUACAUGUAUCUAUGUAUUAUUGAGCAUUUUAGCUGUUAAUACCUUGAAAGUUUAACUAUUAAUAUUUGGAAUUGUAAGAGGAAAUGCUUAAAAUGCUAUAUACAUGUAUAUAUACACACACACUAUAUAUAUAUGGCAACAUCAAGUAAUACCAUUCUGAUCUUAUGGUUUGAGUUAUAUAAAGCAUAGGACUUUGUUAAAGCCAAAAGAUGACCCUUAUUCUUACCAUCUGUUAUUGUUUUCUUGAGAAGGCUAUUUGUUUAGGAUAAAUUUACUUUAAGCCUCGUUGAAGAACAAGUUUUACAUUAUCCUGUUACUGGUGUCCAGUCUUUUAUAAAUUUGUAAAAUUUGUUUAAUACCUACCUUAGAGGUAGGUUCUAGAUAUUGAAUAAGCCAACACUUGUUAAAGGCUUAUGUUUAUGGCUUUCUAAUAAGCACUCUUAAGUAAUACAUUUUUAAUUCUUUUUUUUUGUCUUUUUUUUUUUUUUGCCGUUUCUUUGGCCACUCCCGUGGCAUAUGGAGGUUCCCAGGCUAGGGGUCUAAUUGGAGCUGUAGCUGCCAGCCUACGCCAGAGCCAGAGCAACGCAGGAUCCGAGCCGCAUCUGCGACGUACACCACAGCUCACAGCAAUGCCAGAUCCUUAACCCACUGAGCAAGGGCAGGGAUCAAACCCGCAACCUCAUGGUUCCUAGUCGGAUUCGUUAACCACUGCGCCAUGACGGGAACUCCAGUAAUACAUUUUUUAAAUUGUCCUUUUAUAUCCAAAAGUUUGUCUUUAUUGCCAACAUUGAUCAAAUAUGCCCAUUCGGUAGGUUGGGGUCUUUUGCUAACUAUUCAGUUUGAUAGAUUGUCUUACUUUUAAUUGAAAAACAUUCCAUACUGAGUGUGUGUUUUUUGUGUUGUUGAAAUAUAUAUAAGGUGCGUCUUAUAGAAAAAUCACCCAUUUAGAUUGAGAAAGAAAUUUGUCAUUAAGGGAAGAAUGAGUUUGUAUACACCCAGUUGUAGAAAAGGGAGGCCUCCCAUUUUUUAAAAGGUGUAGACAGUACUGAAAAUCUUACCAUGGCAAGGAAUAAAAAGGACAGGCAUCUUAAAAUUAACAUGUGCUGAAACGAAUAUUUGAAUCCAAACUGUCUUCCUCAUUUCCAUAAACAGUACCACCAAUACUUCACUCACUUGUGUGGACACAAAAGUAGAAAUCAUCUGUGAUUCCUCACACACUAGGUCCAACUCAUCAGCCAGUACCAUCAGCUCUUCCUUAUAUGUAUUUUGAGUUCAGCCAUUUCUCAUCACCUUUUAUGCUACCACCCUGUCCAGGCUACCAUCAUCACCCACCCAGCAAUAUCCAAUAUCCAUGCUAUCUCUGCUUCCACUUUUCCCUGCUUCCCUUUAAACCAUUUUCUACACACCAGCCAGAGUGGUCAUUUAAAGAAAAUGAUUAGGUUGUGUUGCUUACUUGUUUAAAAGUCUCUAAUGGUUUCCUUGAAAUAGAAUAAAAUCCAAUUUUUUUUACCAUGUCCUAUAAAACUGCAUAAUUUGGCUCCUACCUACCUCUUCAACCUCAUCUUAUUCUCACCCUUCUUAUUAUCUCCUUUCUGUUUCUGUCACAUACCAAGCUUUUCCCAGUCUGUAGCACAGACUAUUAGGUGUCCCCUAAAAUUCCUCUUUUUUUUUUUCCAUAGUAGUGGAUAUGGACAUGUGGCUGUCCAGAAUAAAAACUGUUUUCCAGCUUCCCUGUAGCCAUGUGGUAGUUCUGGCCAGUGGAAUCGAAGUAGAUAUGUGGCUGUCUGCCAGAACCAUCCGUAAAAGAUAGCUGGUGCACACCUUUAGUCCUUUGCUUCUUUUCCUCUUAUGUCGUACACCCUGAAUAUAGAUGUGAUGGCCUGGAAUGCUAGCUGCCUUUUGGGUCAUAUGCAAGCUCCCCUAUCCUAGGGAUGGCAAAACCUCAAGCUGGUGAGAAGUUGGGUCCUUGAGACCUUUAUGGAGUACGUAUCAGCCCUAUAGAUUUUGAUCUGUGGAAAAUAUAAACUUCCAUCUUGCCAAAGCCACUAUUUAGGAUAUCUUAUUCUCAAUUGAACUUAACUGAUACUCCAUCUCAGGACCUUUGCACUUGGGAUUUUUUUUUUCUGCCUGGGAUGUGCUUUCACUAUGUCUGUGUAGCUAACUCAUUCUCAUCCUUUAGUUCUUAAUUCAGAUACCAUUUCUGACUGGCCUUCCCUGGCCACCACAUCUAAAGCAGCUCCUUUUCCCAUUUAUUCUCUCUUACAUGACCCUCUGAUUUUUUAAGAGCAUUUAUGAUUGUAUCCGUAUCUUCUUUAUUAUUAUCUCUUUCCUUUCACCCUACUAAAAAUGUAAGCUCCAUGAGAGCAGACUACACCUUUUUGUUGAGUGUUUUAUCCCACACACAUAUAAACCAAUGAACCAUUGAAUGAAUGAAAUAGUAGAUCUUUAUUAGGUAGACUUUUCUUUUUUUUUUUUUUUUUGCCACUUCUUGGGCCGCUCCCGCAGCAUAUGGAGGUUCCCAGACUAGGGGUCUAAUCGGAGCUAUAGCUGCCAGCCUAUGCCAGAGCCACAGCAACGAGGGAUCCGAGCCGCGUCUGCAACCUACACCACAGCUCACGGCAAUGCCGGAUCAUUAACCCACUGAGCAAGGGCAGGGAUCAAACCCGCAACCUCAUGGUUCCUAGUCGGAUUCGUUAACCACUGUGCCACGACGGCAACUCCCUAAAAUUAUUUUACAUACACACCCAUAUAUAUGUACAAAUACGGGAACUCCUAUUAGGUAGACUUUUAAAAAACACAUGUUUUUAAUAAUUUGGCAAGAUUACAAAACUAAGAAGUGACAGAGUUAGGAUUCAAAUAUAAUGACCCCAAAAAUCCAUGUUCUGAAACACAAGAUGCUCAUAGAACUCGAAAUUCCCGUUGUGGCACAGCAGCAACAAGUCUGACUAGGAACCAGGAGGUUGCGGGUUCGAUCCCUGGCCUCGCUCAGUGGGUUAAGGAUCCGGUGUUGCCGUGAGCUGUGGUGUAGGUUGCAGACACGGCUCCAAUCUCGAGUUGCUGUGGCUGUGGAGUAGGCAGGCAGCUGUAGCUCUGAUGAGACCUCUAGCCUGGUAACCUCCAUAUGCCAUGAGUGAGCCCCU